Condylostylus longicornis is the source of this 4588-nucleotide RNA transcript. It is a transcript of the gene named hexosaminidase D, with no coding region annotated. NCBI's taxonomy places the organism in Eukaryota, Metazoa, Arthropoda, Insecta, Diptera, Dolichopodidae. The record is from RefSeq and is a predicted model, not a curated record. The transcript is spliced from 11 exons.
CUUGCUCGAAACGAAAGUGUUAUUUAAUAUUAAAAAGGACGGAUUUUUUUCCGUUUCUCAUUUUUAUUGCUAUUAUUUACAGCAUUUUCGCUCAUUUUUUGUUUCACUUUGUUAAAAAUAUUUAAAAUUCUUUAGAUUAUUCUAGAAUUGUAGAACACUAUAGCAAAUAAAAUCAAAUUAAUUUAAUGAAAUAGAUUUUGAUUUGAAAAUGUGAAUUGAAGUGCAAAUACAUAAAAAAUAUAAGUAAAUUUAUUAAAAAGAAGAUUUUUGUGUCAACAAGGAUAAAAUAUGCUCCUUUUCUGAAACUUCAUUAAUAUUAAAAAACUAACUAAGUUGCUAAUCCUUUAUAAUUAAAACAUGUGGAAAUGCAUAAUGAUGGGGAAUCAUUACCAGUGGUACCAAGAAUAAUUUAUUAUUGUUAAAUAUUUCUGAAAUAUUUAAAAAUCAUAAAAGAAAAGUUCUAAAAUUUUUAGUAAAUAUUAAACCUAAGCUUGAAUUAUCUUAAUAAUUUCUAUCAUAUACACUGAAACUAUUUAUUUAAGAAAAUAUUGCAAUUAUAAAGUUACUUGAAUUUUGUAAUUAAAUGUAACCUAAAUAUUUUUUUGCAAUUUUUGCAAGAGUUUACUUCUUUUUGGUAAUUAAUUUAAAAGUGACUGAAUUUAGGUACAUAUUAUAAUUAUGAUUUCAAAAUUAAAGUUAAUUGGUAAAAAUACUAUGUUUAAGAAAAUAAUCGCAUAAUACAUACAUAUAUAUAUAAAUCACAACACAAACUUAACAAAAAAGUAACAAACUGUAAAGGAUUUUUUUCUUGUUAAUGGCGUAUAUAAGAAGAAUGAAGAUACACCCCAGUGUAUUAGUAUUGCUGUGGCGAAGAAAACUUUCAAUUAUUCUGUUGUCAUCCGCAUUAAUUUUAUUAGCUCUUUGGUCUUGGGCUAUUUAUAAUACUGCCAAUUCUAGUAUUGGUGAAAAAUUUAUAUUAAUUAAAGAUUAUAAUCCAACGCAAACAAAACAAGAAUUUUUUUUGCAGCGUCUUAUAUCUCAAGCUAAUCAAAUUCUACGUUAUCAAAGAAAACAAAAUUUUGGAGGGGUAGAUUUAGUAAAUUUAGAUCAAACGAAAACUCCAUCUCCAGUUGCACCAAUCAUGGAAAACAACCCGUAUCAAGAAGAGCAUUUGCGUAUAUUGCAAGAUCAACAGAAAAUUAAUCAACCUGCUGAACAACCUGACGAUGUAGAUAUUAAUUAUGACCAAAUUUUGACAUCAGCUGAACGUCAAGGGCAAUACGAACGUGAACUACAAAGAAUGGGAGUUCCGAUUAUUCCGGGUCUAGGCCCAGGUGGACCAAGACCGCCACAUGAAAGGUUAAUACACCUUGAUUUAAAAGGUGCUCCACCAAAGCUUUCAUUUUUGAAACGUUUGCUCCCAAUUUUGAAAACUAUUGGUGCUACCGGUCUGCUGAUUGAAUAUGAAGAUAUGUUUCCGUACACUGGAUCUUUGCAAUCGUUAGCUGCUAAAAAUGCUUAUAAACCUGAGGAACUAAAGGAUUUCCUUGAAUCUGUCAUACAGAAUGGAUUAUCUGUGAUGCCAUUAGUACAGACUUUUGGUCAUUUGGAAUACGCACUAAAAUUAGAUGGGUUUGAGCAAAUGCGUGAAAUUGUUGAAAGUCCACAAUCGAUUUGUCCUAGCAACACACAAUCUUUAAGAUUCUUAGAAGACAUGAUAACGCAAAUUGUAGAAUUCCAUAUGGAUUUAAAUCGAAAUUCUAGUUUGAGUGGUAACCGCAGCAGUUUAUUAUUGUCACCUUCUACAGUGGCUGCAUCUUCAAAUACAAAUUUAAAUAUAAACACAAAUUUUAAAAACAAUGUAAACACAACAAUAUCACAUAAUAACAAUGACGAAAAUGGUGGUGUAUCAUCACCACGUCGCCAGCGUUUGUCAACGCCUCAAUAUUUUACACAUAUUCAUAUUGGAUGUGAUGAAGUCUUUAGAAUGGCCGAAUGUGAUAAAUGCCGUCUUAAAUCUAGAAAUGAAUUAUUUUUAUCUCAUAUUACAUCACUUGGAAGUUUUAUAAAAACAAAGUGGCCAGCUUUAGUACCAGUUAUUUGGGAUGAUAUGCUUCGUGAUAUAACUUUAAGUGAAAUGCAACAUUCACAAAUUGGUUUAUAUGUAGAACCCAUGAUUUGGGUUUAUGUUAAUGAUUUAUAUCAUUACAUUCCGCCACAAUUGUGGGAUAUUUAUUCUAAAAUAUUCCCAACAGCUUGGGCUGCAUCAGCAUUUAAAGGUGCUUUCGGUGAAAAUUUAAUGAUUCCCCCAAUACAACGACAUUUAGAAAAUAAUUUGAGAUGGUUGGCUGUUAUUGCAAAGGAAGGUGAAAGAUUUUCAAAAGGUUUUCGAGGAAUUACGCUAACAGGUUGGCAAAGAUACGAUCAUUUCGCUGUAUUAUGUGAACUAUUACCAACUGGUUUACCAAGUCUCUUGACUUGUUUGUCAGCUACGUCUAAAGGGUAUUUUGCAACUGAUGCAAAGGAUAAUGAAAUUAUGAAUGUAUUAGAUUGUGCCAAUCGUCCCGAUUAUCGACGUUCUGGUCAUGCUUGGUUAGAACUACAGGCUGGUUCAAAGCAUAAACAUCAGCUUUAUUCUUCCUGUUCAUACCCAGGAAGCUCAACCUAUAAAUUUAUGUUACGUUUAAGUGAAAAAUUAACUGAAAUUGAUGCCUAUUUACAACAUGUCAGGAGAAAAAGUGCUUGGAUGUCAGAAUACAAUAUACGACAUAAUUUUAGCUCACCUUUAAGAGUUCAAGAGCUAACAAAUAACAACCAAAACUUUAUUGAUCAAUUGGUAAAUAUGGCUAAAGAAAGUCAAACAGUCAUGGCUGAAAUAUACGAUGAAUCUCAUUGUUAACAUUUUUUGUCGCAUAUAAUAAACAUUAUGCGGUCCAAUUUUCAAUGGGGAAAAAUUUUCUAAUAAAACAAUUUUCCAACGUUGCAAGUUAUUAGUCUGCCUAUUUCUUCUCCCUAGUUUUUGAUUUUAAACAGGACUUUGAUAAAGUCGACAGAGCGAAAAUAUUUACAGUGAUGCAGAGACUCGGAAUACCAGAUAAACCGAUACGAGUUAUUGCCGUAACACUGAAAAACAACACUGCGAGGGUAUUGAUUUAAGGCAAGUUAGCCAGCGCGUUUGGAACAGAAUCUGGUGUCCAAACUUAUUUUUAACUUAAUGCUACAUUAUGCGAUUAGAGGAAUUGACACUGGAGGUGCAAUUUUCAUAAAGACGAUACAGAUAUGUUUCUAUGUGGAUGAUAUCAUAAUACUAGCGCGUAAUAUUGUACAUGUAAAAGAAACUUUCAUUAAAUUAGUUGAAACCACUGCAAACAUUUGCCUAGAAAUAAAUGAGCCAAAAACUAAAUAUUUUGUCAAAAGUAGAACGGUGAGAAUAUUUGGGCGUUUGCUUUUUAAAUAUAAACGACUGUGCCGUAGCAAUUAAAGAACGCAUCAAUGCGGCUAAUACAUGUUAUUUUGCCCAUAUUUAAUUAUUGAAGUGAAGAAUACUGACGAGGUCCACAAAGCUUAAGAUUUACAAGACAUUAAUUAAACCUGUACUUAUCUAACGAAGUGAGGUAUGAAAUUUAAAGGCUUCCGAAUGCAAUCUGCUCUUAAUAUUCGAAAUGAAAAUAUUAGGGAGAAUAUAUGGACCACUAAGGUGAACGGACCGUAUAUCAUAUACAGAAUCAGGUUCAGAAUACAGAAACGGACCGUAUACAGAAUCAGGUUCAGUAUCGAAUUAGAGGAUUUAAUGCAAUAUAAAAACAUCAUUCGGUUCCUGAAGUCGCAAAAAGAAGGGCCACGUUAUUCGAAUGCCAAGGGAAAAUAUAAUAAAGAAAAUAUUUUCAGAAAGAAAAAUGGAAGUGACUAACUACAAUACGUUAGCGCUAGAUUGUAAGAGAUGGAAGAAGUAAGGAGAGGAAGCUUUGGCCCACACAGGGCUGUAAUGCUAAGAAAGAAGACGAAGGAGUUAUUAGACUAUCCGUCAUAUCUAUUAUUGGGAGGUUGAUCCAUAUAGAGCGUCAUUUAUCAUCACGGGAUCGCACAAUAAAAAAACUUAAACUACUUGUACUAAAUUAUACUGAAAUUUAAAUUUUUAAUAUCAACAUAGAAAGUAAUAUAAAAGAAAUAAUAGAGUCAUACAAAAAAAUAUAAAAUGAUUUUUUUGAAGAAAUUUAGCUACGUUUUUCUGUUACUAAAUCUUCGAAAUUUGGCUGAAUUUAAUUGGCAGUUGUAAUUUUUAAUAUUGACCGAAUAUGUUGAUCUUGAUCUAUCACCCGUUUUAUUAUUUUUUAAUAUCGAAACAAUUGUUCACAAAAAUAUGUGCUUCCGAACAUGACUAAAAACAUUUUUUUAUCAGCAGUAAUUGAAUAUAUCCAAUAGUAAUUGAAAUAUUGGAAAAUUGACUUAUAGUACACUAUAUCUGAAUACAUUGAACAACAUAUUUAUCCAACAAUUCGUGAACUUCGCCAACAUUUGGAAGAAGCAAGAAAGUUGUUAACUAUAAAAACUUGGCCAAGACGCCCUUUGCCAUACGCAAAAGAGCUUG